This 461-nucleotide ribosomal RNA is filed under the name uncultured bacterium. RNAcentral's name for it is "bacterial SSU rRNA". It matches the Rfam family "Bacterial small subunit ribosomal RNA", at positions 29 to 531 of the family's 1533-position model. The record is from RNAcentral.
AGCGAACGCUGGCGGCAGGCCUAACACAUGCAAGUCGAACGGAUCCUUCGGGAUUAGUGGCGGACGGGUGAGUAACACGUGGGAACGUGCCUUUUGGUUCGGAACAACUCAGGGAAACUUGAGCUAAUACCGAAUGUGCCCUUCGGGGAAGGAUUAUCGCCAUUAGAGCGGCCCGCCGUCUGAUUAGCUAGUUGGUGGGGUAAAGGACUCACCAAGGCUACGAUCAGUAGCUGGUCUGAGAGGAUGAUCAGCCACAUUGGGACUGAGACACGGCCCAAACUCCUACGGGAGGCAGCAGUGGGGAAUCUUGCGCAAUGGGCGAAAGCCUGACGCAGCCAUGCCGCGUGAAUGAUGAAGGUCUUAGGAUUGUAAAAUUCUUUCUACCGGGGACGAUAAUGACGGUACCCGGAGAAGAAGCCCCGGCUAACUUCGUGCCAGCAGCCGCGGUAAGGUGACGCUCU